RNAcentral lists this ribosomal RNA (772 nucleotides) under Corynebacterium pilbarense. RNAcentral's name for it is "partial 16S ribosomal RNA". The record is from RNAcentral. Lineage: Bacteria; Bacillati; Actinomycetota; Actinomycetes; Mycobacteriales; Corynebacteriaceae.
CAGCGAUUAGCUCACCCUCACAGGCUCGCAGACGCGUUGUACCGACCAUUGUAGCAUGUGUGAAGCCCUGGACAUAAGGGGCAUGAUGAUUUGACGUCAUCCCCACCUUCCUCCGAGUUAACCCCGGCAGUCUYUCAYGAGUCCCCACCAUMACGUGCUGGCAACAUAAGACAAGGGUUGCGCUCGUUGCGGGACUUAACCCAACAUCUCACGACACGAGCUGACGACAACCAUGCACCACCUGUACACCAACCACAAAGGGAAASAMCAUCUCUGSMSCGGUCUGGUGUAUGUCAAGCCCAGGUAAGGUUCUUCGCGUUGCAUCGAAUUAAUCCACAUGCUCCGCCGCUUGUGCGGGCCCCCGUCAAUUCCUUUGAGUUUUAGCCUUGCGGCCGUACUCCCCAGGCGGGGCGCUUAAUGCGUUAGCUACGGCACGAACCCCGUGGAAGGGACUCACACCUAGCGCCCACCGUUUACGGCAUGGACUACCAGGGUAUCUAAUCCUGUUCGCUACCCAUGCUUUCGCUCCUCAGCGUCAGUUACUGCCCAGAGACCUGCCUUCGCCAUCGGUGUUCCUCCUGAUAUCUGCGCAUUCCACCGCUACACCAGGAAUUCCAGUCUCCCCUACAGCACUCAAGUUAUGCCCGUAUCGCCUGCAGUCCCGCAGUUAAGCUGCGGGCUUACACAAACGACGCGACAAACCACCUACGAGCUCUUUACGCCCAGUAAUUCCGGACAACGCUCGCMCCCUACGUAUUACCGCGGCUGCUGR